UAUCUAUAAGGUGAGCUUGAAUUUAUU
This 27-nucleotide small RNA is filed under the name Bombyx mori (domestic silkworm). RNAcentral describes it as "ovarian small RNA-23752". The record is from RNAcentral. Lineage: Eukaryota; Metazoa; Arthropoda; Insecta; Lepidoptera; Bombycidae.